AGAGUUGUAUCCUGGCUCAGAACGAACGCUGGCGGCAUGCCUAACACAUGCAAGUCGAACGGUGUUCCCGCUUCGGUGGGGGCAUAGUGGCGCACGGGUGAGUAACGCGUGGGAACCUGCCCCGUGGUACGGAACAACUCCGGGAAACUGGAGCUAAUACCGUAUGUGUCCUGCGGGACAAAGAUUUUAUCGCCAUGGGAGGGGCCCGCGUAGGAUUAGCUUGUUGGCGGGGUAACGGCCCACCAAGGCAACGAUCCUUAGCUGGUCUGAGAGGAUGAUCAGCCACACUGGGACUGAGACACGGCCCAGACUCCUACGGGAGGCAGCAGUGGGGAAUAUUGGACAAUGGGCGCAAGCCUGAUCCAGCAAUGCCGCGUGAGUGAUGAAGGCCUUCGGGUUGUAAAGCUCUUUCGCACGCGACGAUGAUGACGGUAGCGUGAGAAGAAGCCCCGGCUAACUUCGUGCCAGCAGCCGCGGUAAUACGAAGGGGGCUAGCGUUGUUCGGAAUUACUGGGCGUAAAGGGCGCGUAGGCGGUCCCUCAAGUCAGGCGUGAAAGCCCCGGGCUCAACCUGGGAACCGCGCUUGAGACUGGUGGGCUAGAGUUCGGGAGAGGAUGGUGGAAUUCCCAGUGUAGAGGUGAAAUUCGUAGAUAUUGGGAAGAACACCGAUGGCGAAGGCAGCCAUCUGGACCGACACUGACGCUGAGGCGCGAAAGCGUGGGGAGCAAACAGGAUUAGAUACCCUGGUAGUCCACGCCGUAAACGAUGAGUGCUAGACGUCGGGGCUCUUAGAGCUUCGGUGUCGCAGCUAACGCAUUAAGCACUCCGCCUGGGGGAGUACGGCCGCAAAGGUUUAAAACUCAAAGGNAAUUNGACGGGGGNCCCGCACAAGCGGUGGAAGCAUGUGGNUUUAAUUCCAAGCAACGCGCAAAAACCUUUACCAGCCCCUUNAAAAUGGGCCGCUCCCGGGUGGGGGAANA
RNAcentral lists this ribosomal RNA (980 nucleotides) under uncultured Alphaproteobacteria bacterium. RNAcentral's name for it is "bacterial SSU rRNA". It matches the Rfam family "Bacterial small subunit ribosomal RNA", at positions 8 to 1015 of the family's 1533-position model. The record is from RNAcentral. Lineage: Bacteria; Pseudomonadati; Pseudomonadota; Alphaproteobacteria.